UAUUGGACAAUGGGCGAAAGCCUGAUCCAGCAAUGCCGCGUGAGUGAUGAAGGCCUUAGGGUUGUAAAGCUCUUUUACCCGGGAUGAUAAUGACAGUACCGGGAGAAUAAGCUCCGGCUAACUCCGUGCCAGCAGCCGCGGUAAUACGGAGGGAGCUAGCGUUGUUCGGAAUUACUGGGCGUAAAGCGCACGUAGGCGGCUUUGUAAGUUAGAGGUGAAAGCCUGGAGCUCAACUCCAGAAUUGCCUUUGAUACUGCAUCGCUUGAAUCCAGGAGAGGUGAGUGGAAUUCCGAGUGUAGAGGUGAAAUUCGUAGAUAUUCGGAAGAACACCAGUGGCGAAGGCGGCUCACUGGACUGGUAUUGACGCUGAGGUGCGAAG
Molecule: ribosomal RNA, 379 nt
Filed under: uncultured bacterium
Lineage: Bacteria
Description: bacterial SSU rRNA
Rfam family: Bacterial small subunit ribosomal RNA
Source: RNAcentral